Molecule: long non-coding RNA, 3131 nt
Organism: Oryctolagus cuniculus (rabbit)
Lineage: Eukaryota; Metazoa; Chordata; Mammalia; Lagomorpha; Leporidae
Source: RefSeq, a predicted model, not a curated record
CGGACGCAGGCGGCGGGGCCGGGGGCGGAGCGGGCGCGCGGCCCACCCGCCCGAGGCCGCCGUCGCCGCCGUCGCCGCAGGUGGACGGCGCCCGCCCUCCGCGAGUGGAACGCUCCGCUUUGCGCCCCCCCCCACCCCGGCGCCUUUGGUACGGCCCGCCGGGGAGGAAGCGUGGGAAGGGGAGCCCGGGAGCCAGCGGGGCGGCGCGCCAGAGCAGCCCGGGGCGCCCGCGGCCGAGCGGCCAUUAGGAGAGGCCCGCGUUCUCCUCCUCUCUCGGCCCCGCGCUCCGCGCACACCCACUCACCUCCCCCUGCACCGGGUCGCGCGUCCGGGCAGGUUAGAUCGCCCAGCCCCACGCCCUGCAAGAACUGUUCCAUGGGUAACACGUAUUCUAGAAGUGCUUGGUGACUACCAGGUUUUUCCAUCCUUGGAACUCUUACUGCUUCCUCUCUCCACCGCCAGUUCUGUUCUCCUCUUGGGGAGCUGGUGCCAGAAGCUCACACAAGCUCAAUCUCGCCCUGGCCACUCCUGUCACCCUGGAUCUGGGCAUCGGAGGCUGUCCUGUCGCCAGCUCGGGUUGGCAGACGGCGAGGCUGGCAGUGGCCGGCUGCCUGGAGGUGCAGCGCGGCGGGAGGGGGGACUGCAGCCCUGCGGCCGCAUCCACAGGUGCCUCCAGCGGGGUGGGGCUGAGGGCAAGGGGCGGGCAGUGACGUUAGCUCCGAUCUGGGCUGCAGAGAGCCCCAAGCUCUUGAAAGGAACUCGGUCCUACUUUCCUUGAAGCCUAGUUGGAAGGAGGAAGUACAGAAAUCUUUUUGUCACCUCCAGGGGCCGAUCCCUAAGUGGUGAGCUUUCCCCUAUAGAAGGAAAGGAGGCCUGCGUAGGAAAAGAACACUAAUUCUCUAAGAUGUUUCUCAGUACAAAGCCUACAGGUCACGUCUAGUUGAGCAGUGAGAGGCUGAAUGCGCUCCUUCUAAGACAAGGAUGUCCGUUCUUGCUAAUCUUAUUCAACAUGGUAUCUCAGGUUCCAGCCACUGCAAUAAGGCAUGAAAAGGAAAUACAAGGCAUACAGAUAGGAAAGGAAGAAGUAAAACCAUGCAGAUGGUAAGUAGAAAAUCCCAAAUCUACAGAAAAAAAAAACACACAACCUAGUAACUUCAGCAAGAUCCUAGGAUAUUACAAAAAUCGAUAGCAUUUCUGUGUGCUAACAGUGAGCCUGUGGAAGCUGAUGUGAAGAGACAAAAUCAUUUGCAAUCACUUAAAAGAUUAAUACUUAGAUGUAAACUCAAGAAACCAUGUACAGGAUCUCUAUGAUGGAAAUGACCGAUUGUGAAUGAAAUGAAAGGAGUGACAAAAUAGAGAAGCACCCCUUGUCGUGAAUCGGGAGACCCACGGAGUAAAGAAGUCCCCUCUCUGCCAAGCUGAUCCAGCUUAAUGCAGUUCCUACCAAAAUUUUUUUAAAAAGUGGGUUUUUGGAAACAAGCAGGCUUAUGUUAAAUUUAUAUGGAAAGGCACAAGCUCUACAAUACCCAAAACAAUCCUGAAGAAUGAGUGGGAGGCGUCACUGUAUUCAGUAGUAAAGCUUACUAUUCUUACGGAGCUGCAGUAAUCAAGAAUGGUAUUGGCAGAGGAAUAGACACUUUGAUCCAUGGAUACAAAUAGCGAACCCAGAAGCAGACCCAUGAAAACAGGCCAAACAAAGGCCAAAAUGCUUUUUCAGUAAAAGCACUUUGAUAAAGGCGGUCUAAGCAAUGGUGCUGGAACACCUAGACGUCAAAAGACACACACACACACAGUGUCAGUGGAAGCCCCACACUCCACACAAAAAAUUAAGCUCAAAAACAUCAUGGUCUUAAGAUGUGCAAUUGAAGCUUUUAGGAAAACAGUAUGAAAGCAUCUUUGGGACCUAGGGCUAGGUGAAGAAUUAAAGGUGAUGCCAAAAGCACCACCCAUAAAAGAGAAAGAUGUAUCAAUUGGACUUUAUUAAGAACUUUUGCUCUGGGAAAGGCCCAGAGAAUGAAAAAGUAAGUUUUAAGAGUGAAUGAUGAUAUUUGCAAACCACAUAGCCAACAAAUUACUAGUGUUUGGAAUACAUCUUAAAAGAAAAAAAAAAAAAACGAGAAAACCUUCAAACCUCUAUAGAAAAUAACCAAUUCAGUUAGAAUAGGAUCCAGACAUGAAGAGACAAUUCACCACACAAGACAAUGGUGAAACAGCACAUGAAAAAUGCGCAACAUUGUUAGCUAUUAGGGAAAUGAAAAUUAAAACUACAGUGAGGUCUCGCUGUGCAUCUAUUAGAAUGACUCAUGUAAGAAUAGUACCAGUACACAUGCUGAUGGGACACGGAGAAGUGGGAUCACUUCUGUACUGCAGGUGGGCCUGGAAAAUAGAACCAUCCUUUCUGACAACGGGACGGCGCUUAGCUCUGUGUUAGGAUGGCUGUGUCCCACACUGGAGUGCCUGGUUCCCACUGCCAGCUUCCUCUUCCAGCCUCCUGCUGAUGUAGAACCUGGGAGGCACAGUGAUGACUCACGUAGUUGGGUCCCUGAUACCCGCACGGGAGACCUGGAUUGAAUUCUUAGCUCCCAGCUUUGGCCCCCAGGCCCCGCCCUGGUCAUUAUGGGCAUCUGAAGAGUGAACCAGAGCUCUGUGUCUUUCUCUCUGCCUGUCAAAUAAAUAAAUAAAUAAAUGAAAAAUUUCCAAAAGGCAUGAAUUAUUCAUAGAACUUGGAUAAAUUCUCCAGGACAUUAUGCUGAAUAAAAAAAAAAAGCCAAUUCUGAAAAGGCACACACUAUAUGAUCCCACUUAUAUUACACUCUGAAAUGAUAAAAUGCUUGAAGUGGAGAGCAGAUUAGUGAAUUCCAGGGGCCAUGGGUGGAGUGGAGGCACCGAAGUAUCUAUGGGUAUACAAGGGCAACUUGAGGGAUUCUUGUGACGGAACCAAGCUGCACUGUGGCUGUGCCAAGGUCAAUAUCCCACUUGUGAUGUCACGCUGUAUUUCCCCCUAUAAGCCAAGCCGAUUUCAUCAUGUGGAGAAAAUGGCAAUUUGGAUUAUUUUUUAAAAAGCCUUCGAUUGUAACUCACAUACUCAUAACUCACCCAUUUAAAGUAUACAAUUCCAUGAUUUUUCAGUA